CCUACGGGAGGCAGCAGUGAGGAAUAUUGGUCAAUGGGCGCGAGCCUGAACCAGCCAAGUCGCGUGAGGGAAGACGGUCCUAUGGAUUGUAAACCUCUUUUGUCGGGGAGCAAAAGACGCUACGCGUGGCGUUCCGCGAGUACCCGAAGAAAAAGCAUCGGCUAACUCCGUGCCAGCAGCCGCGGUAAUACGGAGGAUGCGAGCGUUAUCCGGAUUUAUUGGGUUUAAAGGGUGCGCAGGCGGAAGUUCAAGUGGGCGGUAAAAUUGAGAGGCUCAACCUCGCCGAGCCGUGGAAACCGGUUUUCUUGAGUGAGUGGGAAGUAGGCGGAAUGCGUGGUGUAGCGGUGAAAUGCAUAGAUAUGACGAAGAACUCCGAUUGCGAAGGCAGCAUACCGGCGCUGAACUGACGCUGAUGCACGAAAGUGUGGGUAUCGAACAGGAUUAGAUACCCUUGUAGUC
RNAcentral lists this ribosomal RNA (459 nucleotides) under uncultured bacterium. RNAcentral describes it as "partial 16S ribosomal RNA". It matches the Rfam family "Bacterial small subunit ribosomal RNA", at positions 338 to 795 of the family's 1533-position model. The record is from RNAcentral.